CGCGCGCUCUGAUUGGCUGAGCGAAGGAAGAGGCCUCUUCCCCCCGCCGCCCGCGAGCUUGGGGAUGGAGUCCCGGAGCGGCUCUAGCUGGGAAGCAGAACCCCUGUGGCGACAGGACUCCCAGGAGCCAUGUUGUCAGAAGUCCUGCUAGUGUCUGCUCCAGGGAAAGUCAUCCUUCAUGGAGAGCAUGCCGUGGUCCAUGGCAAGGUAGCACUGGCUGUGGCCUUGAACUUGAGAACAUUCCUCCGGCUUCAGCCCCACAGCAAUGGGAAAGUGGGCCUCAACUUACCCAACAUUGGCAUCCAGCGGGUCUGGGAUGUGGCCAAGCUUCAGAUGCUGGACACCAGCUUUCUGAAGCAAGGUGACGUCACAGCACUCACCCCGGAGCAAAUGGAGAAGCUGAAGGAGGUGGCGGGCUUCCCCGAGGACUGUGCCGACCACGAGCACCUGGCUGUGCUGUCCUUCCUUUACUUGUACCUGUCCAUCUGCCAGAGUCAGAGAGCCCUGCCCAGCCUGGACAUUGCCGUGUGGUCGGAGCUGCCCACCGGGGCCGGGCUCGGCUCCAGUGCCGCCUACUCCGUGUGUUUGGCGGCUGCCCUCCUGACUGCGUGCAAGGAGAUCCCAAACCCACUGAAGGAUGGCGAGGCCGCCAGCAGGUGGACUGAGGAGAGCUUGGAACUAAUUAACAAGUGGGCCUUCCAGGGGGAGAGGGUGAUUCAUGGGAACCCCUCCGGAGUGGACAACGCCGUCAGCACCUGGGGAGGAGCGCUCCGAUACCAGCAAGGGAAGAUUUCAUCCUUAAAUAGGCCGCCAGCUCUGAAGAUCCUGCUGACCAACACCAAAGUCCCUCGCAGCACCAAGGCCCUGGUGGCCGGCGUCAGGAGCAGGCUGCUGAAGUUCCCAGAGAUCGUGGCCCCCCUUCUGACCUCCAUAGACGCCAUUUCCCUGGAGUGCGAGCGGUUGCUGGGGGAGAUGGCGGCGGCCCCGGCCCCAGAGCACUACCUCGUGCUGGAGCCGCUGAGAUGUGCAGUUCGCCUCCCGGACAGCUCUGCGCUCAAGCCAGCGAGCUGUUCUCCUGUGUCACAGCCUGUCAUCUGAUCCUUGACAGAUUUUGGAUCAGAAUGUGACAGGUGUCUGGAACCUGCCUUGGCAACGUGACACCUGGUGCUCAGGCGCAGAGAGAGGCCCCCAGAAGUUUUCCCUCCCAUCCAGCCCUCGGGGCCGGUGAAAGGCACCCGAGGCUGCCACCGGGCCAUCACGCCUGUCUGCUCGUUUGUCAAAAGUACUGGGGUGUGUGAGGCGGGCUGCGGGGGGGAGGCAGACCCGACCCUGCCCGACGGCUCCAGGCAGGAGAACCAGGUGGGCCUCGGCAGACAGCCCUGUGAUUGGCAACCCUUAUGGCACACAGGCGCUCCCAGGACCCCGGGGCAGAGCUGCAUGCUGUCAAGCCGCACACGGCAAGAAGUGGGUGGCAGGAGGGAUGCCAAGGGUGCUCUCAGAGGCGGGGUAGAUGCACGCUUCACAUCAGGCAGACCCGGCUUCCCGUGCCAGCUCAGUACUUUACUAGCUCAGUGACCUUAGGCAAAUCACUUUCUCCUCUGAGCCUGUUUUCCCCUUUGAAAAAUGGGGAUGAUAGUAAUGCAACCAUAAAAGUACUAACAGCAGCUGACGUUUGCCAAGCACUUACCCCAUUCCACACAUCAUGUGAAAGAUACCUCAUUCCAUCCUCACAGCAAUGAGGCAGAUACUCUUACAAUCCCUGCUUUACAAGGGGGGAAACUGAGGCUCAAAGUGAAAGACCUCUUCCCAAGACACACGACCAAGAAGUGGCAGAGCUGGGACCCAAACCCAGGCCCCUCUGCCUCCAGAUCCCACAUUUGUAACUUCCCUGCAGACCGGAGCUCAUCCUCAGAGCCUCAGCAUCUUGCAGGGUGCCAGCAGCAUGUUGAAGGGAUUUGCCAGACGCGAUGGAGUAAAUGAAAUGAGCUCAUCGACAUGAACCAGCACCAUCUGAAUGCCCUUGGUGUGGGCCAUGCCUCGCUGGACCGGCUGUGCCAGGUGACCAUGGCCCACGGACUGCACAGCAAGCUCAC
Aethalodelphis obliquidens (Pacific white-sided dolphin) is the source of this 2093-nucleotide RNA transcript. It is a transcript of the gene named mevalonate kinase, with no coding region annotated. The transcript is spliced from 11 exons. NCBI's taxonomy places the organism in Eukaryota, Metazoa, Chordata, Mammalia, Artiodactyla, Delphinidae. The record is from RefSeq and is a predicted model, not a curated record.